This 417-nucleotide ribosomal RNA is filed under the name uncultured Parabacteroides sp. RNAcentral's name for it is "bacterial SSU rRNA". It matches the Rfam family "Bacterial small subunit ribosomal RNA", at positions 354 to 767 of the family's 1533-position model. Lineage: Bacteria; Pseudomonadati; Bacteroidota; Bacteroidia; Bacteroidales; Tannerellaceae. The record is from RNAcentral.
UGAGGGAAUAUUGGGUCAAUGGGCGAGAGCCUGAACCAGCCAAGUCGCGUGAAGGAUGAAGGUUCUAUGGAUUGUAAACUUCUUUUAUUCGAGGGUAAAGUGAGGUACGUGUACCUUAUUGCAAGUAUCGAAUGAAUAAGCAUCGGCUAACUCCGUGCCAGCAGCCGCGGUAAUACGGAGGAUGCGAGCGUUAUCCGGAUUUAUUGGGUUUAAAGGGUGCGUAGGCGGAUUAUUAAGUCAGCGGUGAAAGCGUGUGGCUCAACCAUACAGUUGCCGUUGAUACUGGUAGUCUUGAGUGUAAACGAGGUAGGCGGAAUGUGUGGUGUAGCGGUGAAAUGCAUAGAUAUCACACAGAACACCGAUUGCGAAGGCAUCUCACGAAUCCGCAAUUGACGCUGAGGCACGAAAGUGUGGGGA